RNAcentral lists this unclassified non-coding RNA (201 nucleotides) under uncultured fungus. RNAcentral's name for it is "partial contains 5.8S ribosomal RNA, internal transcribed spacer 2, and large subunit ribosomal RNA". The record is from RNAcentral. Lineage: Eukaryota; Fungi.
AAGGAUCACUAGUGAUUAAAUCGAGAGCGUCUUCAUUGACCUCUCACCCUUCACAUCCACAUACACCUGUGCACCGUUUGGCUCUUUUAAAAGACGUAAGUCUGCAAAGAGAGUCAUCAAUUUUAUACAUACCCCAGUCUUAUGAAUGUAACAGUUUUAAUAAACAAAAUAAAACUUUUAACAACGGAUCUCUUGGUUCUC